This 756-nucleotide ribosomal RNA is filed under the name uncultured Actinomycetes bacterium. RNAcentral's name for it is "bacterial SSU rRNA". It matches the Rfam family "Bacterial small subunit ribosomal RNA", at positions 692 to 1447 of the family's 1533-position model. The record is from RNAcentral. Lineage: Bacteria; Bacillati; Actinomycetota; Actinomycetes.
AGAUAUCAGGAGGAACACCGAUGCCGAAGGCAGGUUUCUGGGCCACCACUGACGCUGAGGAGCGAAAGCGUGGGGAGCGAACAGGAUUAGAUACCCUGGUAGUCCACGCCGUAAACGGUGGGCGCUAGAUGUGGGGACCCUUCCAUGGUUUCUGCGUCGCAGCUAACGCAUUAAGCGCCCCGCCUGGGGAGUACGGUCGCAAGACUAAAACUCAAAGGAAUUGACGGGGGCCCGCACAAGCAGCGGAGCAUGCGGCUUAAUUCGAUGCAACGCGAAGAACCUUACCUAGACUUGACAUAUACGGAAAACAUGCAGAGAUGUAUGGUCCUAACGGGCCGUUUACAGGUGGUGCAUGGUUGUCGUCAGCUCGUGUCGUGAGAUGUUGGGUUAAGUCCCGCAACGAGCGCAACCCUCGUUCUAUGUUGCCAGCACGUAAAGGUGGGGACUCAUAGGAGACUGCCGGGGUCAACUCGGAGGAAGGUGGGGAUGACGUCAAAUCAUCAUGCCCCUUAUGUCUAGGGCUGCACGCAUGCUACAAUGGCUGGUACAGAGGGCUGCGAUACCGCAAGGUGGAGCGAAUCCCAAAAAGCCAGUCUCAGUUCGGAUUGGGGUCUGCAACUCGACCCCAUGAAGUUGGAGUUGCUAGUAAUCGCAGAUCAGCAACGCUGCGGUGAAUACGUUCCCGGGCCUUGUACACACCGCCCGUCACGUCACGAAAGUCGGUAACACCCGAAGCCGGUGGCCUAACCGUAAGGA